Molecule: long non-coding RNA, 799 nt
Organism: Cavia porcellus (domestic guinea pig)
Lineage: Eukaryota; Metazoa; Chordata; Mammalia; Rodentia; Caviidae
Exons: 4
Source: RefSeq, a predicted model, not a curated record
GAAGACCCCCAGUGUGUGACUGACACCAGCCAAUAGGCUUUUUGCAGAAUGGAAUAAAAAGGGCAAGAAAAAUGCAGUCUCCCUUCAAUGUCCUUGGAGGAGCCCAUCUUUUUUGUUCGAACUCACGGCCUUGCGCUUGCCAGGCACAUGCUUAUACUGCUGAACUAAAUCCCCAGCCCUGGCGAGCCCUUCUUUACCACCACUUUGUUAUGUCCAUCACCAGGCUUCCGAUGUAGACUCCUCACGCUCCGAUGGGACCCUACAGUGAGCUCCAAGUCUUCUGCCUUUGACUGGAUUAUUUUGGCCAGCACAGCUGUGCUAUAUCCUUCCACACUUGACUCUGAAGGUACCAGGUGUCUCCGCAGCCCAGCAGAAGUUUGCUCACUGGUUCAGAGACUUCAAGAUCACGUUCAUGGGAGAUGCAGAGACUGACGGUGAGACGCCUCCUCGCACGAAUUUUCAAAUUGUUUGGAGAAUCUAGAAAAACAGAGAGAAAUUAUGGAGCCCUAUUGCUGCCAGCCGAGGCAGACAGAGACCACUGUAAGCCACGCCCUCAGCACAGAUGCAUCCAGUGACUCAGCCCUGCUACUGACAGCAACCACUGUGCCCUGUGCUUUCCCAGGCAUCAUCCUUGGGCAGCCACUGCCUCCUGUCUGCUCUCAAGCCUUGUCCUUGGCAGGACACCCCCUUUCCCUGAGCUCUCCUCCUCAUGACCCCGGUUCAGACCUUGCAACGUGUGUGAGAGGAACCGUCUGGUCCAAGUGCACGACUAGCCCUCUCAGGGUUGUUUUGAAAUAAA